Molecule: ribosomal RNA, 496 nt
Filed under: uncultured bacterium
Lineage: Bacteria
Description: partial 16S ribosomal RNA
Rfam family: Bacterial small subunit ribosomal RNA
Source: RNAcentral
GAUGAACGCUGGCGGCGUGCCUAAUACAUGCCAGUCGAGCGAACGGACGAGAAGCUUGCUUCUCUGAUGUUAGCGGCGGACGGGUGAGUAACACGUGGAUAACCUACCUAUAAGACUGGGAUAACUUCGGGAAACCGGAGCUAAUACCGGAUAAUAUUUUGAACCGCAUGGUUCAAAAGUUAAAGACGGUCUUGCUGUCACUUAUAGAUGGAUCCGCGCUGCAUUAGCUAGUUGGUAAGGUAACGGCUUACCAAGGCAACGAUGCAUAGCCGACCUGAGAGGGUGAUCGGCCACACUGGAACUGAGACACGGUCCAGACUCCUACGGGAGGCAGCAGUAGGGAAUCUUCCGCAAUGGGCGAAAGCCUGACGGAGCAACGCCGCGUGAGUGAUGAAGGUCUUCGGAUCGUAAAACUCUGUUAUUAGGGAAGAACAUAUGUGUAAGUAACUGUGCACAUCUUGACGGUACCUAAUCAGAAAGCCACGGCUAACUACGU